UUUCCGUAGGUGAACCAGCGGAGGGAUCAUUACCGAGUGCAAACUCAUAACCCUUUGUGAACCUAUAUCUGUUGCUUCGGCGGCUCGCUCUCGGGCGAGCCCGCCGGUAAUAUCAGUAUCUCUGUUUGAACCCGACGAUACUCCUGAGUGUUCUUAGCGAACAGUUAAAACUUUUAACAACGGAUCUCUUGGCUCUA
RNAcentral lists this unclassified non-coding RNA (197 nucleotides) under plant metagenome. RNAcentral's name for it is "partial contains small subunit ribosomal RNA, internal transcribed spacer 1, and 5.8S ribosomal RNA". The record is from RNAcentral.